RNA transcript from Tachysurus vachellii, 4124 nucleotides. It is a transcript of the gene named suppressor of cytokine signaling 7-like, with no coding region annotated. NCBI's taxonomy places the organism in Eukaryota, Metazoa, Chordata, Actinopteri, Siluriformes, Bagridae. The record is from RefSeq and is a predicted model, not a curated record. The transcript is spliced from 11 exons.
GGGGGAGAGAGAUAGACAGAGAGACACACAGAGAGAGACACAAAGAGAGAGAGAGACAGAGAGAGGGGGGGAGAGAGAUAGACAGAGAGAGACACAGAGAGAGAGAGAGACAGAGAUGACUCUAAUGGACAUGUAAACGCACGGUGGCUCUGAUGAAUAACGUUAACAUUAACACACAGGACCGGAGUCCAGACUUUGUUCUCAUGCGUUUGGUGUCUGCAGCUGAGUAUGAUGACCUGGAACCGGACGGUGAGGACGUGCUGAACCCGGAGAAGAGCAUCAGCUUAACCCCAGGUGGAGGAGGCAGAGAGGAGCCCAACUACAGCACAGACAGACAGACAUGUCAGUGGAUCCCUGUACUUAGGCUUAGUAACGGUGAGGAACCUCAGGAAGGACUCUGUCACAGACACACACACAUAAAGGACCACUCUAUAGGAGACAAACCGGGCCACAUCACUCCCACUCCCGGGACUGGGACCUCCACCUCCGAUCCUGUCCUGAACCUGGCUCGGCAGCUGGGCGAGAUCGGACCGAGCUCGGACACCACGCAAAAGGACGAAAGAGAUGUGUCUGUGUGCUCCUGUCAGCCCGGAGAGGACCCGAGUGAGACCAGCGAUGCCCUGUUGGUGUUGGAGGGUUUGGGUACGAACACAGUAGGACACAAGGAGGCGAAAGAGCAGUCGAGUUUUGCUCAGACUCUAAGCGACUCCGCGUCUCUGAGUGGUCUGAUGCGUCAGCUGACCUCUGACCCCAGCUGUCAGGAUGCCGCCACCCCCUGUGCUCCUUCGAGUCGCCCACCCACUCCAAAACACGUGGGCUCGGCUCUGCAGCUCUCCGCCUGUGGCAGUAGGGCGAGCGAGAGAGGGAAGUCCAGGAAGGGGUCGCUCAAGGUGUGUUUGAGUAAACUGUUCCGCACUAAAAGCACAGGCAGCCCUGACGGAGGUCACAUGACCAACAAGAGACCAUCGCUCGCUUCAUCUACUUCAUCUGGAGGAAGCCUUGUCGAUGUGUUCGGCCAGAGUCUCGACACCACCAGGUCUCAGAUGGUCAGUCCUCACAGUGCCUCCUUUUCUCCUGUUCCCUUCACUGGUGAGACUGUGUCUCUUGUAGAUGUGGACUUUUCUCGAAGGAGUGUCAACUCUCUUCAUCCCCCCACUCCUCCUCCUCCACCAAGGAGAAGUCUCAGCUUGCUCGAUGAUUUUGCAGUGCCCCAGCCUGGACGGUUACUCUCCUCAGCCCAAUCACUACAGCCUACACACACACACUCACACACACAGAUUCACCACAGCCUGAGUCUGAAUGAUACGACUCUCCGCAGUGUUCCGCCCAGGCCACGCCCCAUCCAGAACAACAACCCCCUCAGUGGGCAGCUGCAGCGGCGGUCCCUGUUGUGUCCUCUGACCAGCAGCUUCGCCACAAGCCUCCGAGAGCUGGAGAAGUGUGGGUGGUACUGGGGACCGAUGAACUGGGAGGAUGCAGAAAUGAAGCUUAAGGGAAAGGCGGACGGCUCGUUCCUGGUGCGAGACAGCUCAGACCCAAGAUACAUCCUCAGCCUGAGCUUCAGAUCGCAGGGCGUCACACACCACACCCGUAUGGAGCACUACAGAGGGACAUUCAGUCUUUGGUGUCACCCUAAAUUUGAGGAUCGUUGUCACUCAGUGGUGGAGUUUAUUGAGCGAGCCAUCAUGCACUCUAAAAAUGGACGAUUCCUGUACUUCCUGCGCUCACGAGUUCCAGGUCUUCCCCCCACCCCGGUGCAGCUCCUGUACCCAGUGUCUCGGUUCAGCAGUGUGAAGUCUCUGCAGCACCUCUGUCGCUUCUGCAUCAGACAACUCGUCCGCAUAGACCAUAUACAGGAGCUCCCACUGCCCACACCUGUGAUCGGGUAUCUACGGAAAUUCUAUUUCUAUGAUCCAGAAGAGGAGAAGAAUCUGUCAAUCAGAGAAUCAGGGCGGGACACCAGCGCACAGGAGACGGACUCUCAGACGUAGCAAGAACAGAAAAUGGAUAGAGUCUUUAUUUUUAUUUGGAUUACACACAGACUGCUGAGACCAAACCUGGUGGAGAUGAACGACAGACAGACUACUGAUCCCUUUUUUCUUUGUAUACACUGAAGGACCUAAUCACUGCUUCUGGAGGUGUUUUGAUUGUAGUGGAGUUUCUAACAAUGAUCCUCCCUCCAGGAGGGAAGGGGAAGUGGAAACCUGCAGCUGAUACAGGAUCAGAUGUUAAUGUGAAGAUGUUCUGAUGCACUGAUGAGCGUUCACAUGGUGACAUGUGGAACUGGGACAAACUGGACAUAUUUCUGCUCACAUACCAGGAUCUACUCAUACUUGUGUUCUUUCAUGGCCACAUCAGACUGUCACACAGACAUUUACACAUCAUCUGUUUUGGACCAUAUCAACACGUUCCUGGACACUACCGUCAAACACCAUUUCACUACCGUCAAACACGUCAAAUUCUUUCCUAAUCAGAAGCUGUGGAUGAACUCUGAAGUCCGUCUCCUGUUGAAAGCAAGAGAUGCUGCUUUUAAAUCUGGCAACGCAGAGGACUACAACAGAGCCAGGGCCAACCUGAAAAGAGGCAUCAGGAGCCAAACAUACAAAAUCCACAUAGAAGAGCACUUCCACAACUCUGACCACAGACGAAUGUGAAACGGCAUCCAGACCGUCACAGACUACAAACCAACACCUCGACUUCCUACCAGACGAACUCGAUCACUUUUUUGCUCAUUUUGAUCAAGACUUGGGACAUUUCACCUCAACCGCUGACUCUUCUACUGCUCACAGUUCACUUUCACUCUUAACAACGGACAUCUAUUCAGAGUUUAGCAGAGUGGAUGCAGGCAAGGCAGCUGGUCCAGACGGCAUACCGGGAUGUGUUCUCAGAGCAUGCGCUGGACAACUGGCACAGGUUUUCACUGACAUUUUCAACCGGUCAUUGACCCAAGCCACGGUUCCUACAUGCCUGAAGACUACAACCAUCAUACCAGUGCCUAAGCACUCAGUUACCGAAUGUCUGAAUGACUUUUGCCCAGUUGCACUCACCGCUAUUGUCAUGAAGUGCUUUGAGAAACUGGUCCUGUAUCACCUCACUGCAGGCCUACCACCAGUGCUGUUCAUUGACUUUAGCUCUGCGUUCAAUACAGUCCUCCCACUGUACUGAGCUCACUAAGCUCAGUGACCUCUGUAUCUGAACCUGCGCUUGCAGAUGGAUUCUGUACUUUCUCACCAACAGACCUCAAUCUGUUAGGUUGGGCAAACAGGUAUCCUUAACCCUCAUUCUGAACACUGGCAUUCCACAGGGCUGUGUUCUGAGCCCACUACUCAACUCCCUGUUCAUCCACAACUGUGCUCCUCUGCAUAACUCUAACAUCUUGAUGAAGUACGCAGAUGACACCACCGUUGUCGGCCAGAUUAAAAACAACGACGAAUCGGCCUACAGGGAAGAGAUCUGAAGCCUGACAGCGUGGUGUGCCAUCAACAACCUGACCUUCAACACCACGAAGACUAAAGAGCUCAUCAUGGACUUUCAGAAAUCUAACAGCAGGAGACAUUCCCCAGUCUACAUCAAUGGAACUGAGGUAGAGCGGGUCUCCAGCUUUAAGUUCUUGGGAGUUCACAGCUCUGAGGAUCGGUCCUGUCACCAGAACACUUCAGCUCUGGUUAGGCACAACAACUCCUGUACGUCUUGAGGAGCCUUAAGAAAGCUCAUCUGUCCCCAGGGAUUUUAACUUUUUUCUACGGCUGCAUCAUCGAGAACAUCCUGACCAACUCCAUCACUGUGUGGUGCAGAGGCUCCACUGUGUGUGAACGUAAAGCCCAGAAAAGGGGGGUCAAAAUCGCCCAACGCAUUACUGGCAGGUUCAGGGACAGCUUUUUUCCAUCCACCAUCACACUACUGAACUCUACACUACACCGUUAGAACACUGUAAAAAUACAGUAUAUAACUUCUGUACAAUUAAACAUACAAUGUACAUAUUACAUAUUGUAUUUUUUAUCCUCAUUCUCUACACAUAUUGUGAUUCUACAUACAUCUGCACUAUUUUAUUUGUGUCUCUAUAUAUAACUUAUUGUACAUUCUGCCUUUUAUAUAUACAGUAUAAAUCAAAUCACAUUUUAUCU